CGCACCGGCAAGUCAAAAAAAAAAACAAAUGCAGCAGCAAACCCGAAAAUGACGCGCAACUCGCUUUGAGGCUGCUUGUCUUCGCAUCACUAGCGCUCGCACUCCUUCUUUCCCCCUCCUAUCUCACAUUCGCAAGUCACAGCUCGCACAUUGUGUGCACCGAAGCCGUUGGUGCCUCCACGCCUCUUGCGCCCAUCUACCAGCGUGUUUUCGUAUCUCGGUGCCUGUGCAUGGGGGCUCAUCUUUCACCCACGUCGCACAGUGCCUCACAUCACCUUUUCCUUUUGGCUUACUUUCUUUCCCUCUUUUCUUGUUACUACUCUGAUGACGAGGACUACCCCAGCGUGACAUCACAGGGUCCAGCGCCCUCACUCUGUGUGUGGGGACGCCAAGCGACCCCUCCCCCUUAUCCCUGCCAAUGCCGAAGCACCUCUGGCGGUGACAGGGUCAAGCACCUACAACCCAAAGGGGGGGGUGAGGGGAGGCCAGUGCGAUUCAUUGCUGCUGAUGUCGGCUGGUCAGGUCCUGGACGGCGUGGCGUCGGAGCGACCUGCCACAGCGAACACGCCUGUGCCAUCCACAUGAUGGGCGAAGCGUCAGCGUGGCUCGAGCGUAUCCCACCCCCGGCCGUCACACUGCCUGCUGGUGCGGGGAGCCCUGAGCGGCACCCUGAGGGGGCAGCAUUUGGGCCAGAGGCCGUUCUCCGAUGGCUGGGCCGGCGCACUGCUGUACGGGCUUGUGUCUCCGGCUGCUUCGCACCAGGUGAAAUGGACCCUGUGGCAGGGCCGGGGGCAGCAGAGUAGAGUGGCGUCGUACUCCUGCUCCACGGCAGAGAAUGGGCACACGUUGGAGAGGAAGGAAAAACCUGUAUGCACCUCAACGUGUGCAAGGACUGAGCGUUUCUCUCUCUCCUUCCCACGGCUGCUUGUUGAAUCACACGCCCCUGUGUGGAGAUGGCGAACAUUUGUCGCACAAGGGCGCGUGGUUAGAGAUGCGACACGGAGAUGCCGAGUAUGCGGCGAGUAGGGAAGGAUUAUACAGUGCGCAACAAAACUGAAGUGCAGGCGAUAGCUAUGCUGUGUGGAAACGGGGCACUUUUUUUGUUGUCGCGAGCGCAGCCGUGCCGUAGAAG
RNAcentral lists this unclassified non-coding RNA (1132 nucleotides) under Leishmania donovani. RNAcentral describes it as "gene:unknown". The record is from RNAcentral. Lineage: Eukaryota; Euglenozoa; Kinetoplastea; Trypanosomatida; Trypanosomatidae.